RNAcentral lists this ribosomal RNA (512 nucleotides) under Starmerella floricola. RNAcentral's name for it is "partial 18S ribosomal RNA". It matches the Rfam family "Eukaryotic large subunit ribosomal RNA", at positions 37 to 649 of the family's 3401-position model. Lineage: Eukaryota; Fungi; Ascomycota; Dipodascomycetes; Dipodascales; Trichomonascaceae. The record is from RNAcentral.
UGCAUAUCAAUAAGCGGAGGAAAAGAAACCAACAGGGAUUGCCUUAGUAGCGGCGAGUGAACCGGCAAAAGCUCAGAUUUGAAAGCCUCUUUUGGCAUUGUAUUCUGAAGCCUUGGUCCUGGGACCUGGUGCUUAAGUCUUCUGGAAAGGAGCGCCAUGGAGGGUGAUAGCCCCGUGAAGCACUAACCCCAUUGUAGGAUCUUGGCAUGGAGUCGAGUGUGUUUGGGAAUGCAGCUCAAAUGGGUGGUAUGCUCCAUCUAAAGCUAAAUAUCUGCGAGAGACCGAUAGCGAACAAGUACUGUGAAGGAAAGAUGAAAAGAACUUUGAAAAGAGAGUGAAAUAGUACGUGAAAUUGUUGAAAUGGAAGGAUAGGCCGCUAACCACGCAGAGUCGUGUUUAGGGGGAGGACAAAAGCUGUAUACUUCAUCAUUCUUCGGAGUGAUGUCGUUGCGGUGCAUACUCCCACCUGGGUCGCGAGGAUCUAAGACUCUGCUAAAUGGUGGUCUAUCACC